Molecule: ribosomal RNA, 492 nt
Filed under: uncultured bacterium
Lineage: Bacteria
Description: partial 16S ribosomal RNA
Rfam family: Bacterial small subunit ribosomal RNA
Source: RNAcentral
AGUGAACGCUGGCGGUAGGCCUAACACAUGCAAGUCGAACGGCAGCACCGUAAGAGCUUGCUCUUACGGGUGGCGAGUGGCGGACGGGUGAGGAAUACAUCGGAAUCUACUUUUUCGUGGGGGAUAACGUAGGGAAACUUACGCUAAUACCGCAUACGACCUACGGGUGAAAGCAGGGGAUCUUCGGACCUUGCGCGAUUGAAUGAGCCGAUGUCGGAUUAGCUAGUUGGCGGGGUAAAGGCCCACCAAGGCGACGAUCCGUAGCUGGUAUGAGAGGAUGGUCAGCCACACGGGAACUGAGACACGGUCCAGACUCCGACGGGAGGCAGCAGUGGGGAAUAUUGGACGAUGGGCGCAAGCCUGAUCCAGCCAUACCGCGUGGGUGAAGAAGGCCUUCGGGUUGUAAAGCCCUUUUGUUGGGAAAGAAAAGCAGCAGGUUAAUACCCCGCUGUUCUGACGGUACCCAAAGAAUAAGCACCGGCUAACUUCGUG